CCUACGGGUGGCUGCAGUGAGGAAUAUUGGUCAAUGGGCGUAAGCCUGAACCAGCAAAGUCGCGUGAGUGAUGAAGGUUCUAGGGAUCGUAAACUUCUUUUAUAAGGGAAUAAAGUGCGGGACGUGUCCAGUUUUGUAUGUCCCUUAUGAAUAAGGAUCGGCUAACUCCGGGCCAGCAGCCGCGGUAAUACGGAGGAUCCGAGCGUUAUCCGGAUUUAUUGGGUUUAAAGGGUGCGUAGGUGGGCUUUUAAGUCAGCGGGGAAAGUCUGUGGCUCAACCAUAGAAGUGCCAUUGAAACUGGUAGGCUUGAGUAUGUUUGAGGCAGGUGGAAUGCGUGGUGUAGCGGUGGAAUGCUUAGAUAUCACGCAGAACCCCGAUUGCGAAGGCAGCCUGCCAAGCCGUGACUGACGCUGAUGCACGAAAGCGUGGGGAUCAAACAGGAUUAGAUACCCGUGUAGUA
RNAcentral lists this ribosomal RNA (460 nucleotides) under uncultured bacterium. RNAcentral's name for it is "partial 16S ribosomal RNA". It matches the Rfam family "Bacterial small subunit ribosomal RNA", at positions 338 to 795 of the family's 1533-position model. The record is from RNAcentral.